UGCAGUCGAGCGAACAGAUAAGGAGCUUGCUCCUUUGACGUUAGCGGCGGACGGGUGAGUAACACGUGGGUAACCUACCUAUAAGACUGGGAUAACUUCGGGAAACCGGAGCUAAUACCGGAUAACAUUUGGAACCGCAUGGUUCUAAAGUGAAAGAUGGUUUUGCUAUCACUUAUAGAUGGACCCGCGCCGUAUUAGCUAGUUGGUAAGGUAACGGCUUACCAAGGCGACGAUACGUAGCCGACCUGAGAGGGUGAUCGGCCACACUGGAACUGAGACACGGUCCAGACUCCUACGGGAGGCAGCAGUAGGGAAUCUUCCGCAAUGGGCGAAAGCCUGACGGAGCAACGCCGCGUGAGUGAUGAAGGGUUUCGGCUCGUAAAACUCUGUUAUUAGGGAAGAACAAACGUGUAAGUAACUGUGCACGUCUUGACGGUACCUAAUCAGAAAGCCACGGCUAACUACGUGCCAGCAGCCGCGGUAAUACGUAGGUGGCAAGCGUUAUCCGGAAUUAUUGGGCGUAAAGCGCGCGUAGGCGGUUUCUUAAGUCUGAUGUGAAAGCCCACGGCUCAACCGUGGAGGGUCAUUGGAAACUGGGAAACUUGAGUGCAGAAGAGGAAAGUGGAAUUCCAUGUGUAGCGGUGAAAUGCGCAGAGAUAUGGAGGAACACCAGUGGCGAAGGCGACUUUCUGGUCUGUAACUGACGCUGAUGUGCGAAAGCGUGGGGAUCAAACAGGAUUAGAUACCCUGGUAGUCCACGCCGUAAACGAUGAGUGCUAAGUGUUAGGGGGUUUCCGCCCCUUAGUGCUGCAGCUAACGCAUUAAGCACUCCGCCUGGGGAGUACGACCGCAAGGUUGAAACUCAAAGGAAUUGACGGGGACCCGCACAAGCGGUGGAGCAUGUGGUUUAAUUCGAAGCAACGCGAAGAACCUUACCAAAUCUUGACAUCCUUUGAAAACUCUAGAGAUAGAGCCUUCCCCUUCGGGGGACAAAGUGACAGGUGGUGCAUGGUUGUCGUCAGCUCGUGUCGUGAGAUGUUGGGUUAAGUCCCGCAACGAGCGCAACCCUUAAGCUUAGUUGCCAUCAUUAAGUUGGGCACUCUAGGUUGACUGCCGGUGACAAACCGGAGGAAGGUGGGGAUGACGUCAAAUCAUCAUGCCCCUUAUGAUUUGGGCUACACACGUGCUACAAUGGACAAUACAAAGGGCAGCUAAACCGCGAGGUCAUGCAAAUCCCAUAAAGUUGUUCUCAGUUCGGAUUGUAGUCUGCAACUCGACUACAUGAAGCUGGAAUCGCUAGUAAUCGUAGAUCAGCAUGCUACGGUGAAUACGUUCCCGGGUCUUGUACACACCGCCCGUCACACCACGAGAGUUUGUAACACCCGAAGCCGGUGGAGUAACCAUUUAUGGAGCUAGCCGUCGA
This 1423-nucleotide ribosomal RNA is filed under the name Staphylococcus saprophyticus. Its description in RNAcentral is "bacterial SSU rRNA". It matches the Rfam family "Bacterial small subunit ribosomal RNA". Lineage: Bacteria; Bacillati; Bacillota; Bacilli; Caryophanales; Staphylococcaceae. The record is from RNAcentral.